GCCAUUUAGCUCAAAGGUCGAGCGCCUGAUUAAGUUUCAGAAGGUGUUGGUUCGAUUCCAAUAAUGGCUCCA
This 72-nucleotide transfer RNA is filed under the name Gammaproteobacteria bacterium. RNAcentral's name for it is "tRNA-Leu". It matches the Rfam family "tRNA". From Rfam's summary of the family: Transfer RNA (tRNA) molecules are approximately 80 nucleotides in length. Their secondary structure includes four short double-helical elements and three loops (D, anti-codon, and T loops). Further hydrogen bonds mediate the characteristic L-shaped molecular structure. tRNAs have two regions of fundamental functional importance: the anti-codon, which is responsible for specific mRNA codon recognition, and the 3' end, to which the tRNAs corresponding amino acid is attached (by aminoacyl-tRNA synthetases). tRNAs cope with the degeneracy of the genetic code in two manners: having more than one tRNA (with a specific anti-codon) for a particular amino acid; and 'wobble' base-pairing, i.e. permitting non-standard base-pairing at the 3rd anti-codon position. Lineage: Bacteria; Pseudomonadati; Pseudomonadota; Gammaproteobacteria. The record is from RNAcentral.